This 500-nucleotide ribosomal RNA is filed under the name uncultured bacterium. RNAcentral's name for it is "partial 16S ribosomal RNA". It matches the Rfam family "Bacterial small subunit ribosomal RNA", at positions 30 to 523 of the family's 1533-position model. The record is from RNAcentral.
AUUGAACGCUGGCGGCAUGCCUUACACAUGCAAGUCGAACGGUAACAGGGAGCUUGCUCCGCUGACGAGUGGCGAACGGGUGAGUAAUGUAUCGGAACGUACCUUUUAGUGGGGGAUAACGUAGCGAAAGUUACGCUAAUACCGCAUAUUCUUUGAGGAGGAAAGCAGGGGACCUUCGGGCCUUGCGCUAAUAGAGCGGCUGAUAUCAGAUUAGCUAGUUGGUGGGGUAAAGGAUCACCAAGGCGAUGAUCUGUAGCGGGUGUGAGGGGAUGAUCCGCCACACUGGAACUGAGACACGGUCCAGACUCCUACGGGAGGCAGCAGUGGGGAAUUUUGGACAAAGGGGGCAACCCUGAUCCAGCCAUGCCGCGUGAGUGAAGAAGGCCUUCGGGUUGUAAAGCUCUUUCGGCCGGGAAAAAAUCGCAUGGGUUAAUACCCCGUGUGGAUGAUGGUACCGGAAUAAGAAGCACCGGCUAACUACGUGCCAGCAGCCGCCGUAA